Molecule: unclassified non-coding RNA, 213 nt
Filed under: Hevea brasiliensis (rubber tree)
Lineage: Eukaryota; Viridiplantae; Streptophyta; Magnoliopsida; Malpighiales; Euphorbiaceae
Source: RNAcentral
UCUUCACUUUCUUUGGUUUUGAAAGCAAUUCUUCGUAAGGCACAGCAAAAUCCGUCUCUACAAGACCACAAAAAAUCGUCGAGUAGUCCAGCGUCGGGUCCCGUGCUUCCACCGAAGUCUUUCUGUCCUUAAGCUCCGGGAAAUCGAGAAUAGGAAUCGAACAACCACCAGAACCACCAAAUAUUUCUUUGUAAUCCUCCAUUCGAGACCCAG